RNAcentral lists this ribosomal RNA (253 nucleotides) under uncultured bacterium. Its description in RNAcentral is "partial 16S ribosomal RNA". It matches the Rfam family "Bacterial small subunit ribosomal RNA", at positions 524 to 776 of the family's 1533-position model. The record is from RNAcentral.
UACGGAGGGUGCAAGCGUUGUCCGGAAUCAUUGGGCGUAAAGAGUUCGUAGGCGGCAUGUAAAGUCAGGUGUUAAAGGCGCAGGCUCAACCUGUGUAUGGCACUUGAUACUUGCAAGCUGGAAUGCGGUAGAGGUAAAGGGAAUUCCUGGUGUAGCGGUGAAAUGCUUAGAUAUCAGGAGGAACAUCGGUGGCGUAAGCGCUUUACUGGGCCGUAAUUGACGCUGAGGAACGAAAGCCAGGGUAGCAAAUGGG